Rhinichthys klamathensis goyatoka is the source of this 908-nucleotide long non-coding RNA. RefSeq lists it as uncharacterized. The transcript is spliced from 3 exons. Lineage: Eukaryota; Metazoa; Chordata; Actinopteri; Cypriniformes; Leuciscidae. The record is from RefSeq and is a predicted model, not a curated record.
AUACUGAAUUUUAAUGCAUGUUUAUUUAUUUAUUUGUAUCUUAUAGAUGUAUUAAUCUGUUGUCGAGCUGCAGUAUCAGAUCAACUCACUGAUUUGGGAUCAAAUGUGACCAUAAACUGUGAUCUUGAUGAAAAUGAGGUUUAUUGGAUUUUACUGAAAACACCAGAUCCUCCAAGAGUGAUUCUACGGUCAUUCCCAACACCAAUAUCACCUUUUUACACAAAUAAAACAUUCAGAAAGAAAUAUUCACUGCAAUUUAAACACCGUUUGGUUAUUAAUAAUGUGACUGCUGAUGAAUUAGGAGUUUAUUACUGUAUGAACACAGACACUCCUCCAAAACUCAGCAACAGCACCAGACUGCACUUCACCGAAUCAACUCAACUAACUGAGUGUCACAAUCAGACAGCGGUGGAGUUUAUUGAUCAGAAUCAGAAACAAUGGCAGAUUAUUAUCAUCAUAUCUGGACUGAUGAACGGGCUUCUGCUCAUUGUGCUGAUUGUUUUUGCUGUUGGAAAAACAGAACGGUUGGAAAAAUAUGAUCCUGAUGUUCAGACACGAGUUAUAUAUCAGCCUCAUAACCCAAACCGACUAACAUCACAAUAAGGUAAAAUAUGUGAAACCAUUAUCAAUAGUUUUAGUAAAAUUAAUUAUUGUAAGUUUCGAAAAUUGUUAAGAAUUCUUGCUGAGCUCUUAUUUGAAGAAAUCAUAGAGCCUCUUGUUUUGAUUACUGUUAAUUUUAAUAAAAAAGCUUAAUGUAAAUAUUUUUUUCUUUGUUGCUCUUUCAGUUCACACGGAGGUGGAUGAUAUUAAGCAACAGCAUCUGUGUUUGAUUAUAUAACAUGUUCUUAAAAUAUCAUGUGCUUAUUAUACUUUAUGUCAAGAAUAAAUAAUUUUACAGUGUAAUAUCA